CAACUUUCAACAACGGAUCUCUUGGCUCUCGCAUCGAUGAAGAACGCAGCGAAGUGCGAUAAGUAAUGUGAAUUGCAGAUUUUCAGUGAAUCAUCGAAUCUUUGAACGCACCUUGCGCCCCUUGGUAUUCCGAGGGGCAUGCCUGUUUGAGUGUCAUUA
This 159-nucleotide ribosomal RNA is filed under the name uncultured Tylospora. Its description in RNAcentral is "5.8S ribosomal RNA". It matches the Rfam family "5.8S ribosomal RNA". From Rfam's summary of the family: 5.8S ribosomal RNA (5.8S rRNA) is a component of the large subunit of the eukaryotic ribosome. It is transcribed by RNA polymerase I as part of the 45S precursor that also contains 18S and 28S rRNA. Lineage: Eukaryota; Fungi; Basidiomycota; Agaricomycetes; Atheliales; Atheliaceae. The record is from RNAcentral.